This 392-nucleotide ribosomal RNA is filed under the name Acanthixalus spinosus (African wart frog). RNAcentral describes it as "partial 12S ribosomal RNA". It matches the Rfam family "Bacterial small subunit ribosomal RNA", at positions 781 to 1386 of the family's 1533-position model. The record is from RNAcentral. Lineage: Eukaryota; Metazoa; Chordata; Amphibia; Anura; Hyperoliidae.
GAUACCCCCCUAUGCUCAGCCCUAAAAUAUAAAAUUACACUUAUAUAACGCCCAGGGAAAUAUAAGCGCAAGCUUUAAACUCAAAGGACUUGACGGUGUCCCACCUACCUAGAGGAGCCUGUUCCAUAAUCGAUAACCCACGUUAUACCUUACCACUUUUAGCCUAUCAGCCUGUAUACUUCCGUCGUAAGCUUACCGUAUGAAUGCUUAGUAGGCCAAAUAGUCAUUCCACUAAUACGUCAGGUCAAGGUGCAGCCAAUAAAGCGGAGAGAAAUGGGCUACAAUUUCUAAUAUAGAACACACGAAAAACCACAUGAAAAUCGGUCACGAAGGCGGAUUUAGCAGUAAAAUAAUAUAGUAUGUUUAUUUUAACUACGCCCUGGGACWUGUAC